RNAcentral lists this ribosomal RNA (301 nucleotides) under uncultured bacterium. Its description in RNAcentral is "partial 16S ribosomal RNA". It matches the Rfam family "Bacterial small subunit ribosomal RNA", at positions 509 to 807 of the family's 1533-position model. The record is from RNAcentral.
CAGUAGCCGCGGUAAUACGUAGUGUGCAAGCGUUGUCCGGAAUUAUUGGGCGUAAAGAGCUCGUAGGUGGUCUGUCACGUCGGCUGUGAAAACCUGGGGCUCAACCCCGGGCCUGCAGCCGAUACGGGCAGACUAGAGUUCGGCAGGGGAGACUGGAAUUCCUGGUGUAGCGGUGAAAUGCGCAGAUAUCAGGAGGAACACCGGUGGCGAAGGCGACUAUCUGGGCCAACACUGACACUGAGGCACGAAAGCGUGGGGAGCAAACAGGAUUAGAUACCCCCGUAGUCCCUGUCUCUUAUAC